RNAcentral lists this unclassified non-coding RNA (3027 nucleotides) under Exaiptasia diaphana. RNAcentral describes it as "octopamine receptor beta-2R-like, transcript variant X5". Lineage: Eukaryota; Metazoa; Cnidaria; Anthozoa; Actiniaria; Aiptasiidae. The record is from RNAcentral.
GUGAAAACAACUUGCAAGUUGUUUUGUUACNAACAGUGUCUUCUCAGUACUCCAUAUUCAAAAACUUUUUGGCGGAAGUUGACGGAAAAUUGAGAGAGUACUUUAAGUAAUGUUUAGAGCAAAAUUGCACGUGUCUCAUUCACAUAUAAGAAUCGAGGGAAAUAUCAUGUAAAUAAGUGUUUAUGAACGCUCUGAGCCAAUAGCAUCGCCGAUUGAAAGGUAUAUAAACACAUAAGAGCUCGUUUCUCAUANGUGUUUGUUGUCACACAGUGAGAUACAAUCUAAUUGAACCAAGCGCUGAAUACUUCACCAUUGUGGAAAAGAUAAAAGAGCGUACUAAUCACAUUCGAGAGGCACAACUCGGUUACACAUUGUUAAGACAGUCGCCGUUGACAUAAUUUCUAUAUACACACAGUAAACCAUGCCAAGUGAAGAUUAUUNCGAGAUGGAUCAUAGCGAAGAGAAUCUCAACUCGACUAAUUUUAAGAUAGAAUUCAGCCCUAAGCACGACAUCUUUCCUAUUCUCUUCGCUAUAUUGAUAAUAGCUGCAAACGCUCUGGUCCAUUUUCUGGUCGUAAAGUCAAAGCAUCUAAGGAAUACUGCAAACUACAUGUUAUGCAGUUUGGCUCUGUCGGAUCUAUUGACUGGUUUAGUCGGUAUACCAUUGUAUUUGGCCUGCAACAUCGUCCAAAAGACAACCAUCUGCGUGUUUGCUGACGCUUUUAUCCGCUUUACCUCCAUUUCUACAGUACUUCACUUGCUGACAAUUACAGCUGACCGCUACCUCGCAAUUAUACACUCCCUUCGCUACUACCUCAUCGUAACACCUCGGAGAGCCUACAUAACUUUGUCGGCUAUAUGGUUAUUUUCUAUUUUCGUUAGUUGNAUACAACUUAUCUGGAACAGCUCAACAGAGAUACAUGUACACGGAGAAGGAUUCCCCGAAAAACAGAUCCCCUAUGACAUGUUCAACCUUGUAUGCUUCUUCAUUUUACCGCUCGCUGUUACGAUCUUCGUGAAUAGUCGAAUAUUCUACGAAGUCGUUCGGCAAAGUCAUAUCAUGAGGCAAAAUAACACGCCGGGAACGGACGACANUAGAAAGAAACAAAGAAGAGAAUGGAAAGCCGCUCUGAUCUUUGCUCUUAUGUUCAUUACGUACUGUGUGUGCUGGCUGCCCUUUUUUUUAGCAACUCUUCAGCACAACAUUGGCAAUUCCUUUUUUGAAUUGACUGAAACUUUAGAGUACGUUUUCGUCUAUUCGCGAUUCGCAACCUCACUCAUUAAUCCCUGUCUGUAUGUCCUUGGUAAAAAUGAUUUUAGAAACGCGCUAAAGAGAGCAAAGAAGGAUAAAAAAAGAGGAAAUUCGAUUAGCAAAUCGUCUGUCACCAAAUAUUCUUUUCUGAAGACAUCAUCGAUGUAAACUCUAUAUCCAGNAAUCGANAAUUCUAAAAAAAACUGACGGCUAUUAANCCCAGAACUGUAAAUUAAUCCUAUAACCUUGGGCAGCUUAAAACAGCUUUCUCAGCGACACAUGAGUUCAAUUUAUUGGAAUUAAUCCUUUAUUUGAUAAAGUUAAUGAAUNUGACUUGAUUUCGACGACAUCCAAAACGAGAAGUAGCCCGAAAAUGACAGUGACGUCAAGAUCAGAUGAAUAAGGGUUUCCUGUCAUAUUAACGACUGUCUAACUGCGGAAACUCUUCUUAGAAAGAUGUAACGCUUCUUUACUUAACGUAUCAAUCUUCGCUUCACAAAUUCAAAAGCAAUAUAACUAUAUAGACUCUGGAGAUAACCGUUCGACAAAGAUCUUACCCACUGAUCGAUAGACGCCAGACUGUGCGAAAUANUCCUUUUUACGGCUCUAAUGUAGCCUNCAAGGCGCCUUAGCGAAAAUUGUUCUUUUAAGAUAUCUGGUCAUUCAACACUAAAGGUGUGACCAAAACAUANCAUUAUAAAAGGAACUGAUUACAACAUAUGAUUAUUAUAAAAAGACUUAANAUUAGCUUUCCAGCCAGAAAUUAUCGAAAAAUUGAUAUAAAUAUCUAUGCUUGCUGAUUUAAACAUUAGCCAAUAAAAGUGAUCCUUAAAAGCCUCAAAUUAAGACAAAAUAAUUAAUAGACCUUUCUCAUGAAACGAUCACAUGGUACUAAAUGCGCCAUUCCUGAUGGGAAAAAUAUUCACUGGGAUGGUCAAAACAAGGAAAAGUCGAGUUUGAAGGUCUGCGUUCCUUUCAAUUUUGAGGUUGUUUUCAUUAUUUAGCGAUUCAGUUUUGCGGAUUAAGUACUAUGUGUUCGUUUCAUACUAAAAGCCUAUUAAAGUUGAAAAAAUAAACAAGAAAACAAAAAAAUGAUUGUAUUAUAUUUCUUAGUAUAGUAUGUAUUGUCAGUAUAAUUACUGNAUAAUAAAUAAUGUGUAUACUCCAUGCUAAUGAAAGAUCGCAUAGCCUGACAUUAAGCUAAAAAUCCCAGCUCAUCUAAGCACAAGCGAAUUCCUGUUAAAGUAUGAAUAAUUGAUCACAUUCAAACANCUCUUGGAUUGUGAUGAAAACGUUUAUCGAUCUGGAAAACAUGUCNUCAACAUUAACUCCCUCCAAAAGAAAACUUAUAUUUAGCCUAAUCUACUCGUCUAGCUUUGCUUGCAUCUUUUGAAUUAUCGAGUUUCGACAUAACGUUGGUGGCCAAAUUAAAACUGACGUUUUGACAAUGCAGGCUAGUUAAUUUUUCUCUGAUAAAGUAAGAAAAAUAUAAAAAACAUUAAGUCAUAGGAUAAAGUAUUAUACUACUCAUAUAGAUAUUUAAGCUUNAGCUAUGGCGAACUACGCCAAAAAAAGAAAGAAAUAUUGUAUUAAGGUUCUUUGAUGAGUAGAAAAAUAUUAAAUCAAUGGAAAAGUAAUGACUGUUUUGAACAGAAAAAAUCUUAUUUUAAUGUGUAGUAGAAUGUGUACGUGCGUAAGUCGAAGUAAGUUAUCAGAUUCAGACGUAUAAGUACAUUCAAGAUUAUGAUUCAGAAGUGUUUGAUCCCCAUAAGCUC